CCCAGGCAGGGCUGGAGUAGGGCCGGGCCGCUCCGAGGGAGCAGGGAGGCAGCUGGGCCUGCAGCCAGUCCUCCGCAGACCUGCAGAGGGCCCAUCUGCCUGGACCUGGGCGCCUCCCCCGGAAUCUGCCCACAGCUCUGCUUCUUGCACAGCCGGCGGAUGAGUGGUGCGCGGGCAGGUCCGUGCCUGGGCAGAUGCAGGGCAGGACCGGGGCUGAGAGCUGAGGUCGCCGGACUCACUGCGUGCUUGAGAAACCCCAGGAGUAAAGGCUAAGGCCUCGGAGGCCCCAGUGAAAAGGUUAGUUCUAACCCUAUUAGUAGGAGUACACCCCAAAUCCCAGCGGGAAGCCCUCUGGGGGCCGGAUCUUGCAGCCCACUGCUGCUGAGCAGCAUCUGCCUGCGCUCUUGCCCCAUGAACGUCGCCUGGCCUCACGUCCCUCCCGGGUCCCUCACCUCUGCGGGAGGCCUGGACUUUGGGCCCAGCUCCCAACUCCUCUUCUCCCAUUCAGGGUGAGGGACCCGGGGGGAGCAGAUCGUCUCAGGGACCCCUAGGCCCACAGAGGCCACGGGAUGCAACAGCAAGUGUCUCUGUGUACUGAAGCCUGGCCUGGGGCCCAGGCAGGGCCCCGGGAGCCAGGCCGGGGCGGCCAGAGGACGGAUGAGAAAGGAUGAGGACAAACUGGCCCGUGUCCCCCGUGCGGCCCUGGGUUGGGGGACAGCAGCCGGAUCUGCAUGGGAAGCGUGGGGACUGUGGCCUAGAUAAACCAUUCUGUACGAUCUGAUCAGCCUGAAUACUUGUCACAGCUACGGGAAGCUGAUGAUGACCCAGUCUGUCCGAAGGAGCACACUGACAUUCGGAAAUUAAAUAAAUUAUGAGUUUAGAAAGAAAAGACAAAAGAGAAAACUGUCCGAAUUUCAUAACUUACUAAUAGGGGUAUUUCAAACAAAACAGGGAAAGGUGUCAUAAAGUCUUCACCUACUCGGUGCUGUAUCUGUGGCUUCAUUGGUGGCCUUCCUAAUGGAAAAAUAAGAAGCCCAGUGUUUUCACAGAUGGAUAAAGAGUGCUCUGGAUUCUGGAUUCUGCCUAUGGCAUAAUUGGUUGGUCACUUUAGAAAAUGACUCUGAGAAAAUGAAGAACUAAUGUUUUUGGAAGACUGAAAUGAGCUCAGACAAGAGACAGAAAUGCUUUUUAAAGUUAAUUAUGUUUGCUUUUUACUCUCCCUUGGUGUUCAUUACCUUGGAAUGGAGCCGCACAGGGCAGAAAUAAUUACCAGGUUUUCAGUGCAGGUGGCUGCCUUUUUGCAGGGAGGGGAGGCACCCAAAGCUGUAUCUGUUUCAUACUUUGUACCAUUGGAAAUUAAAAGUUCAGUUUUAAUGAGGCAAGCAGGUACCAGGUAUAAUCCUAAAAUGUGCUCAGGCAUUAUAAUCCACUUAGCAUGACACCUGAGGCUAAAUCAGUGAGAAAAGAAUGCCAUAUGCAUUACUGUCAGAAGCCAUUCGUCUUGCCUGGCUAUGGACUGUAACUUCUCUUGAAAUCAAUAUGCAGGUUCAUGUCCUGCAAAUUUGUACAUGUUCAGAAUCUGCUUGGUUGUGAACUAAUCUGUCUUCUGCUUGGGAAUCUAGGGAAGGAGUAGAGGUUUUGUGUUACUGGGAAGCAAAUCAAAUGUUAGGCUAAGGAAAAUAACAGUUAGCAAAGAAAGACAUACUGGUGAAUGAACAGCAUGCUAAUGGAUGUCCCUGGGGCUGGGUUCUGUUCAAGGCGCGGCUAUUAAACGCGGUUACCAGUGAAUCCCAGGUCGCAGACCCACUGACAUCCACCGGGAGGCUCGGCCUGUUACAGAGCUAGAGUCUGUGCACGCCCUACCGAGGUCCUGAGUCAUGCAGAAGAUGUCGAAUCACCCUGCUACAGACAGGCAGGUCUGCCCACACCCUGUCUAGGUCCCCAGUAACGUGGAACACACACCGAAUCAGCCCGCUGCAGACAGGAAGGUCUGUGCAUGCCCUACCGAGAUCCUGAGUCACGCGGAAGACAUUGAAUCAUCCCACUGCAGACAGGCAGCCACCUGAUUCCACAUUACCAAGGUGCAGAGGACACCAGACCACCAGACCAAGAUUCUGCAAACUCCAGCGUCCCUGAGAGAGCGAGGGGAGGUCACCAGAGUGAGGCCUGGGGGCCUGCAGGGCCCCACUGAAGGAGUUGGUGCAGCCAGGCCCAGGGUCCCAGCAGCUGCCCGAGAACUGUUACAUCUACUGCAUGAAGCUGGCCAGUACCGAGUUAUGCCGAGUUACCAGGCUGGAUUCAAACUCUGGUGUCCUCCUGCCCUGGCCUCCUGAGUACCUGGGACCACAGGUGUUUACCACCUGCUACAGUGUAGAUUAAGAAUGACCCCAACUCUCCUGUGGUCACACAUGGGCCUUUCGGAAGGCCCUUCUGCCAUGCCCUUCUGUGUGGGAGCUUGUCAACCAAACUGCAAAUGUGAGCCAAAAUAAACCUCUCCUCCUUUAAGUUUGUUACCUAGGAAGGAGAAACAUCACCUGAUUUACGAAGCAAGGUGCCAUGUUGUGAACCACCAGAUGGAGACAGUCAUACAGAAAGGAGCCUAGGGUGACCUUCAGCCAACAACCGGGCAAGAAUUCAGUCCCUCAGCUUGGCAGCAUGUAAGGAAUUGAAAGCUGCCAACAGCCUGAGGAAGCUCUUACCUCAAAUGUUCUCACAGUCCCAGUCAAUAUUUCAAUCCAGAUAGAAAUGAGCAGAAGAAAAGCAGAUGGAAGAAAAACAGGAGUGAAAGAAGAAGAAAGAAUGAUAUGGUGAAAAAUAGAAAAAAGGUCUUUUCCCAACAGGUUCAUGCACUGUUCCUCCCUGAGGACUUCAGAGGCAUCUGGACCCCUAAUAUUUCCACGCAGGGAAAGAACACCCAACACCUUCCCUGCUCGGGUGGACCUUCCUCGGUCUCUUCGCUGGUGCCAGGC
This 2969-nucleotide long non-coding RNA is filed under the name Heterocephalus glaber (naked mole-rat). RNAcentral describes it as "lncRNA (ENSHGLG00000044424.1)". Lineage: Eukaryota; Metazoa; Chordata; Mammalia; Rodentia; Bathyergidae. The record is from RNAcentral.